RNAcentral lists this ribosomal RNA (442 nucleotides) under uncultured bacterium. RNAcentral describes it as "bacterial SSU rRNA". It matches the Rfam family "Bacterial small subunit ribosomal RNA", at positions 958 to 1400 of the family's 1533-position model. The record is from RNAcentral.
AACGCGAAGAACCUUACCUGGGCUCGAAAUGUAGUGGACCGGGGUAGAAAUAUCCCUUCCUAGCAAUAGGCUGCUAUAUAGGUGCUGCAUGGCUGUCGUCAGCUCGUGUCGUGAGAUGUUGGGUUAAGUCCCGCAACGAGCGCAACCCUUAUUACCAGUUGCCAUCAUUUAGUUGGGCACUCUGGUGAGACCGCCUCGGAUAACGGGGAGGAAGGUGGGGAUGACGUCAAGUCCUCAUGGCCUUUAUGUCCAGGGCUACACACGUGCUACAAUGGCCGGUACAAACCGUCGCAAACCCGUGAGGGGGAGCUAAUCGGAGAAAGCCGGCCUCAGUUCGGAUUGGAGUCUGCAACUCGACUCCAUGAAGCUGGAAUCGCUAGUAAUCGCAGAUCAGAACGCUGCGGUGAAUACGUUCCCGGGCCUUGUACACACCGCACUACUA